This is a long non-coding RNA of Bacillus rossius redtenbacheri, 17628 nucleotides long. RefSeq lists it as uncharacterized. NCBI's taxonomy places the organism in Eukaryota, Metazoa, Arthropoda, Insecta, Phasmatodea, Bacillidae. The record is from RefSeq and is a predicted model, not a curated record. The transcript is spliced from 4 exons.
GUAAGUAAACACUCGCUUCUAAAGUUUUUAUACUCAAGAAGCUGUACUAUACAAUCACUAUGGAAUUGGUUGAAUAAACCUUAUUUGAUGACAAUGUUUUAUAUUCGUUAAAAUGAAAAAUAUGUUUUGCGUACUUUGAAUGAUUGUCGUGGUUCUAAUAUGUUGACAGUUUUUAAAUUGUUUUUGGAACAGUACAAAAGUGUGUUCGACAUUCAUUGAGUUCGUGGUUACGGCAAAGUGGUGUGCCUAAGGACAACUAAACCUCCCCGUUUCAAGUUUACGUGAUACUUUAGCCAUAGUCGGUAAUGACAUCCGCAAGCAGUAUUGAGGAAGUUGAAAACGAACAACUAGAAGCUUUGUUGAUAGAAUGUGUACGCCUACGACCUGUUUUAUAUGACAGGGAUCAUGAAGAUUUUAGGAAUAAUGAUAAAAAGGAAGAAACAUGGAGGGAGAUUUCAAAUAUUAUGGAUGUGCAAGUGGUUGACUGCAAGCUGAAAUGGAUUCGCCUGAGGGAAUACUUUGCCAGAUUCUUGCGGUGCAACCCGAAAACAAAGCAUUACUCGGAAGUGAAGAAACCGUGGAUCCACCUGGAGCGGAUGUGGUGGUUGAAGAACUACGUGAGAAAGAGGAAAGUGAAAUUGACAGAACGGCGAAUGCACAAUAAAUUGAACGGCAUUGCCAAAGAGUCGUUUAAGGAAAUUUGGGAUCCCGAUGUGUCUUACUUAUCGACAACAGAAGUGGUGCUAGAAGAAUCUGUAACCACAUCGGACAUUAACGAAGAUGAGGAAACGUUAGAAAUUCGAGAAAAUGCUGGUGUGACAGAAAUGUACUACCCGGAAGGUUCUCAGGAAGUCACCAUCAACAGUUCCUACAAAAACAUGGGCUCAUUUGUGGAUGAAAGGGACGUAAAAAAACGCGAUCACAAGUAUGCGAAGCAGGGUGGUGACAAAGAAGUUAUAACGCAGGCAAACACACUUGGGAAGGUGAUCAAGAAGAGGAGAGAGGACCGUUUCAGGGACGUUUCCGAUCCGUACGGGAACCAAAACUUCUGCAACAGUCUUGUGCCGAUGCUGGACCAGCUUUCGGCAGAACACAACAUUGACUGUAAGAUAGCCAUCAUGAAUAUAAUGAAACAGUUCAUCACUAAGUGAAUAUCAUUUUAUAAAUGAUAUUGUAGUAGUUCAGCAAAUGGAUACCUGCAGUUAUUGUGGAUAGUUAAUACUGUAACUAUUAACAUUACUACAUAAUAAAUAGCAAAUUUAUCAAAUUUAUAUGGCCAGUGAUAGUUUUCCUUAAAACUUGCCAAUACUAGUUUUUUUUCAUGCAAAGGAAAUAUCAAAUCAAAUGUUUCAAAUAUUCGCAAAGUCAAAUUGAAUUGACAAAUAUUUUUUCUCCACUCCACUUAUUUUCAUAAAAUACUGAAAUGAAGUAAAAAAAUAUAAUAUAUAUACAAUUUGUAAUGAUUUUACUUAUUAUAAAACCAGUUGGGUUCUAUAUUUAUCAAUAAUCAAUAUACAUUGAAAGAUGAUCAUGCAUAAAAUUAAUAUCGUGCAUUCAUAAAAGUAGACCUGAGUGCCACUUUUUUUAAGUAACCAACAUUAUUGAUGCUAAACUUACAUAACACCCAAAAAAUUAUUAUUUAACUAAGGUUUUACCCGUUAUAAAAAUAAUGAUAGUUCAGCAUUUUAAAAUUUCACUUUAUGUACUAAAAAAAUAUUAUAAAAUCAGUUGCAAAAAUUUAUUUUAACCUUUUUUAAAAAAAAGAAAUCGCAUUAUUAAAGUAAAUACCAAAAAAAAUACAAUGUAAAAGACUUUCUUCUUGCUAUACAAAGCACAAAGAGCAUUAUCAUAUUGCCCCAAUACAUCAAUACUAUCGAUUGACACUCUAAAAGAAAAAAAAAUACACAUGAGAUAUUUAAAUAAUUGGUUUUCAUAAUAAUUUCCUUUGUGUGUUACUAAUCUGUGACUUACAGUGAGAAAUUUAUCAUAAAAUGGUGUUAACCUCGAAUGUUAAGAAACUUAAAAAAAUGUUUUCUGUUAAGUGUAAUUUAGGGAAUAUUUUACAAUAAUUUAAAAUAAAAUGUACUUUCAAAAAACCUUGCAAAUUGCUGGAAAACGUAAAUUGGAGGUUUCUUGGUAUUAAUGUUGCUGGUCAUACCAAACUGACAACUCAACUUCAGUUAUGUUAAUUUGCACUUCCGAAAUUAAAAAAAAACACAAUUUCAAAUUUAGAAACUUUGGGUUUAUAACUGAGAAGAAGCAAAACUUGGGCUUCCAAUCAUGGGCGUAGAUCCCGGGGGGGCCAGGGGGGCCCGGGCCCCCCCUGGAAUUAAUGGGCCCCUCCUUGGGGGGGCCCACUUCGUGAUUUUAAAGUUAAUGGUGUACACAGCAUAUAUAUCAGAUUAUUAUUUACAACGACGACAGACACUUUGACAUGCUUUAUAUUCCUACCUUUGAGUUCCGUAGUUAUUUUCCCCUACCCCUUCUGCGAAAGCCAUGGUAUGGAGUUUUCCAGUGAGAACUUUGAAACCCUUAAUUCCUAGAAACCGUUCAUUCCAAAGGACGAAGCUAGGGUAGGGUUCCGUUAGCAUUUCCUCCCCAUUGAUACCCACACUACCUUGUCCUCUGAAACGACAGUAUUAUAGGUUUCAGGUAGUCUGUUUUUAAAGUGGUUUUGCUCUCGUGUGCGCCAGUCUUCUGCUUUCUUGGUAAACAUCAACAUGGAUAAUUUCGUGACGCGGAAGAAACGGAAAACAGAAUCUGAUUCUCACCUGGUAAGCUUGAUUGUUUUAUAAGUAGUGACUAUUAUUUAGGUAAUAUAUUUUAUUUAAGUGAUUAUGUAACGUUAUUUUUUCCAGUAAAUAAACAACUUAAUACUUUAACAGUAAUUAUAGCAGAAUUUAGUUUAUUUACGAACUGAAACUUAUAUACCAUUACUGGAAUUUUUUUUAGCUCAUCUCCAUUCUGUAAGGCUAGCUGCUCUGUACGUUACAUGUGAAUAUACAGGGAAUAAUUUUUUUCCUCGUCAAUAUGGAAUUUAAAAUCACUCCCCUUUUAUUAUCAAACGAUAAUUUUCACAAUUCAUGGCCGAUAAUCACUUUAUAACAUUUGUUAUUUGAUAACUGCAACACUGCACGAGUAAACAAAAGUAAGAUUGAGAAAGAAGUAUUUAAACGUUACACAUCCGUAUUUAAGUUAAUAAGGAAGCAAACGCGUCUCUUUAAUAACUAAUCAAGCGGUAUAUUUUAACUAAAUAAUAUUCACUGCCAAAAUACUGAUUAUACUAAAAAUAAGCCGAGAAAUGUAUGUGGUUCAAUUAGCUGUAGGAUAAAUUUCAUAGUUCUAUCUACGAGAUUUUUCAUUUGUGUCAUUAAGUUUUUUUUUCUUUUUUACCUGGUUGAUGCCUUUACUAAAUAAAAGAGUCUUUAAGGGUUUUAAUAUGAUUCGAUCGUUCAUUUGAUGUUGAUCCGUUUAUUAGCUUUGGAGCUUUGGGUUUUUACGGCACAUCAAAAACUGUGAACAAAGAAUUUCACGAACAGCAUUUGAAUCGCAGUAAUUAUGUGAUGUGGCAUAAAAAAACCUGACAAAGUGCGAGUCGAACUCGCGCACGAAGGGUUCCGUACCAUUAUCUAUAAAAACGGCAAAAAAAAUCAUGUCUGUUGUAUGGGAUUGGGAGCCCCACUUAAAUAUUUAUUUUAUUCUGUUUUAGAAUUUCUUGUUAUAGCGGCAACAGAAAUACAUCAUUUGUGAAAUUUUAUUCUGUUUUCACGUUUGUUGUAUGGGAUCCCCCUUAAAAAUUUGUUUUAUUUUAAUUUAAUCAUUUAUUUUAAAGUGAAUAUAUAACUAAAUAUUCUGUGAAUAUUUCAAGCGUCUACCUGUUGCCGUUUUCAAUAUCAAGCAAAAACGAACAAAAAAAUCACGUUGGUUGCAUGGGAGCCUCCUUAAAUAUUUAUUUUACUAUGUUUUUAGUAUUUGUGUCUAACUAUCACGGUUCAUGAGAUACAGCCUGGUGGCAGACGGACAGACAGACGGACGGACAGCGUUAUAUUCACGUAUAUUAUUUUAAUAGAUUUUUUCAUGGAUAUUUUAUGUAUUUAGGUUAGCAAAUUAUACAAACAUGUUUGAGAGAUCAUUUCUUAUAGUCAUUAAUUAAUAAUUACUAAAACAUAUGUUGCUCUGCUUUAUUGUUAAUAUCACUUACGUAAAAAUAAAGUGUAUAACAUACGAGCUUAUCAUCCAGAGAAGACUUGUUUCGGUUGACCUCUAGCGCAAAAUUCUUAAACCACAGAAUUCACGGGCCCCCCCUGGAAAUCCUACAGAUUUGCGCCCAUGCUUCCAAUGUUUUUAAGCUUCGCAACAAACCCAAAGCUCCACAUCAGACACGUAGCUUCGCACACAUUCAAAGCUUCAAAUAAAUUGAUAUAAGAUUUCCUGGCGAAGUCAAAUCAAAUAUUAAAAAGAGCUUUCAGCUCAUUUGAUUAGUCGAAGCUUCGAACAGGCCUACGUUAAACUAGAAUUCAGUGGUAUAUAAAAAUGGACCAGUAGACCAAUUUAGUCUGUAUAACCAACCCAUAAUUAAUAAUAACAGUAUAAUAGACUCUCUUUUGGUCCUCGUCCAGUUAUCAAGCUGCCUUACCAAAUCACUAAGUAAACUAUUUGUGCUCCAUAAGCUGCAUCUGAGUUAGAUGUGUGCAUCAUAUUUAAUUUUAAAUUUUUUUAUUUAUGUGCAUUGCUAGAGGUAACUCAUAGAAACAGGUUUGCCUACUGGUUCAUUACUAUUUAUAUACACUUAAUUAUAUUUUUGGUUUUUACUGUAACCGUUUCCUAUUCCGAGGCUAAGUGUUUGUUUAAUGAUUCUGUUGUUUCAGAUAUGUUGGUAGUAGUACCAAUGGUGAAAUCUCAUUGUGCCACUGGUUUAAAUCAGUUGCUUUAGUGAAAUUUCAAGUAUGAUUAAGUUUGUCAAUGCAUCUGUUAUUUUUCAUUUUGAGUUCUCCUUUUCACUUAUUUUACUUUAUACUGAAGUUGGAGUCUGAAUUUUGUGGAUGUGGUCUAUACUUAGUUCCGUAUUCUACAUUGUGUAAGUAAGAGUUAGAAUUCUGUUUUUCAAAAACCAAUUCAAAUUUUUUUUUUUAAGUUUGUUUAGAAACAAUAAUGCUGGAUAAGUAAGUUUAAGUUAGAUUAUACCAUACUUUAAUAUCCAUGGAUUGAACAGAAUGGAUUAUGUAGUUGAACCAUAUUUUAUUAAUGCAAUGUUAAACGUAUUUCUUAUGAAUUUUAUUUUUAUAUAAAUACCAUUGCUACAUUGAAUUGCUGCUGGGAGUCAUCAUAAUUAAUGGUUAUAUUGAUCCUAAAAAAUGUUAAUGUGCACAAGAAAAUAUUUACUGUCUUUUUUUUAUUCAGGUAUGAUGAUCAAGUUUACUCUUGGCUAGAUUGUAUGUGUCAACUGUAAAUUGUUACUAUUGUGAUACAGUAGUAAAAAAAGAUGAAAUACCCAAAUUUAUUACUUUUUUCGUCCUAAAUUUUUUUCUAAUUAUUUAAAAGUAAAAGUUGUUUACCGUUAGUAUAUCCUUUUAAUGGUUGCUUAGGUUUGGUUAGCUACAUUUAAAAUGCAGCCAAAUAAUUUGGAAUUUUGGUUAUGUUAGGUUAACUAGAUUUUAAAUACAAUAAAAUAUUAGGAUUCAUUUGGUUAGGUUAGCUACUUUUAAAAUAAUGUAAACUUUUGAUAACAGGUGGUUAACUAAGCUAAAUUUUAAAAUACUGUAAAAUUUUGUGAGCUGUUGUGUUAGUGGCGUUUAAAAUACUGAAUGCAGUAUUUCACAAAUUCCAUUUUUUUAUUUUUUUUAUUUAUCAUUGUGUCAUAAUAGUAACAAAUUAAUAUUUUAAAAGACUGAUAGGUAUUAGUGAUGUUAGAUACAUUGUUUGGUUUAAGAAAAACACAUUGUAUUGCCAAACUUAUUAGGUUAAUUUAUUGAGGCAUAUGUAAUAAGGAGAAUUAAGGAACCAUGUGAUAAAGCUAGUGUUAGGAUAUAUUUACUGAACAGUGAUUUGUCCUGGUUACACCAUGCAGGUACAUUAAAGUCACAUAUUUUUUAGCAAUAAGCUUUGAUUGUCGCAGACUUCCGUGUAAUUGCAUUAUGAAAUACAAGUUCUGACUUUUUUUUCUCCUCCAAACCACUGAGAAUAAAAGUUCUAAGGCCACAAAAAUGCAGUCAUUUAAAUUUAGAUAACUAAUCAAUUUGUACUUAAGAUGAUUUGUUAAUUUGUGCAUAUUUCAUCACUGAAAUUUCUGUUUUCUGGUGUUAUAAUUAUAAUUUUAUGAAAGUUUGAAGUGAUUAAAGCUUCCACAUGUCUUAUUUGACUAGUUGUCUUAUGUAGCAUUGAGAAUGAAUGUCUGGUGUUAUUUAUGAUGCUUUAGCACCAAAGAGGAUGAAGAAUUAUCUUAUAUAUAAAAUUCUCGUGUCACAGUUUUCGUUGCCAUACUCCUCCGAAAUGGCUUGACCGAUUUUGAUGAAAUUUUUUGUGCUUAUCCGGUAUCUAUGAGAAUCGGCCAACAUCUAUUUUUCAUCCCCCUAAAUGUUAGGGGUAGUCCACCCCUAAUUUUUUUUUUUUUUUAAUUUUUGGAGAAAUUUUUUUAUUUUAUUUUUUUUAUAAUGUGGCAUUAAAAAAUACACACAACCCUAAAUUUUCACCCUUCUACCCCCAACCCCUAAUUUUUAAUAGAAUUUUAUAUUUUUCAACCCCGGUCGAUAGCUGAUCAAUUAACACUUGAUCAACCUUCCCCGCCUACAGCGAGCUCAUUAUCUGGAUUAACACAUAAACCACAUAUUAAUAUGAAAUUCCAUCCCUAAGGGAGUGAAAAAGUGAUAAUUUCAUUUUAUAACAGAAAAAAUCAUAGGUCAUAGACAUACAAAUAGUGAGUGAGUGUCAUUUCUCUAUGUCUGCCACACGAUCAUACACAUAGUAAGGUCUUGCAAAUUUAUAUUUUUCUCCUUGGUGAGACCAGCCCGCUUAGUGGAGCUCGCAGCGGCUAGCAAAAUAAAGGCGCUCAUAACAGUUUUCUUCUUAACUUUGUUAAUAGAUAGCGUUGCCUUGAAUUUUAAACGCACCAUCGUUUGAUGCGUUUGUCAUGUCUUUAAUUUUGUUUGUGCCGUAUGCGUUCCUAUAUACCAUUCAUCCGAUUGCGAUGAAAUUUUGGUGAGUUGUUAUGCGCAUGCCCGUGAAGGUUUCUGAGACGGUAUAACUAUUUUGCAAUAGUUGUAGUACAAAUCGUUUCAAAAAAUGUGUUUAUUUCAUAUUAUAUAGCGGCACUUCGUCUGUUUUUGUAGUAUAAGUGCGCACGCAUGACACAAUUUAUUUAAAUAUAAAAGAGAGACAGAGAUAGAGUGAUAUAUAUAGAGUGAGAUAGAGAGAGACAGAGAGAUAAGUUGAGAUAGAGCGAGGUAUAGAGAAUGAAAUGGGUUAGAUAAAGAGAUAUAUAGAUGUAUAUAGCUAUAUAGAGAUUUAUAUAUAAAAGAGAUAGAGAUAGUGUGAGGUAUAUAUGUAAAUAUGUAGAUAUAAUGAGAUAAAUAGCGAUAGAGAGAUGCAUAGAUAUAUAAAGAUGUAGAUAGAGAUAAAUAUAUGUUUAGAGAGAUGGAUAGAUGAUUUGUAUAUGUGUAACUACUUCAAACAUAUUACAAAACAUAGCUGAAUGAGGCAUUGCAAUGCAUGUCGAGCAUUAGCUAGAUAAUUGAAUUUUUUCUAUAUUUGUAAUCUCUUAUUUUUAAGCUUUUUUCUAUAUUACUUUAUAGAGUCUAGAUUACAUACAGACCAGGUAAAUAACUAUAAACUGGCAGAGCAACGUCUGUCGGGAUCUGAAAGUGAUAUAAAUUAUUUUGCACACUUGACAUUCAAAUUAAGAAGACAAUUACUAACUACAUCUGAUUUCGAAAAAGGUACCCUUCAUCAUGUAUUCAGCCCGGGCAACGCCGGGUACUGCAGCUAUAAAUUCCCUAGAAAUAAUUUAUAUGGCAAAACAACGUUUGCCGGGUCAGCUAGUUUUUUAAAUAAAUUAAUGUGCUUUUUUUUCUGUUGCAGAAUUUAAAAGUUAGGUAGUUGGAACUAAUCUUCUCCCUUCUGCAGGGUGGCCAAAACUCAUGAGGUGAAAAAUGUUUCAGACUAAAAAAAAUUCCCCAAUACAUACUUCAUUUCAACAUGAGUUUUAUUUUUUCAGAUUAUUCAGUGUAAAAAAAUUAUCACUUUAAUUACCUGCAUGAUACUUUACUGAUUGAUUGUUUAUGUUCUUCGCUAAUGAUGCUAAUACUUUGUGAUGUUUUAUCAGUAUUAUGUAUUUCUUUAACAUCCAAGUUAUUAAAAUUUUUACCCAGAUUUUGGAUAUUUUCCAGUGGCCUUGGGUCUUUUAUAUUAUAUAGUUACAAAUUGUAUUUCCCAUUAUUCCUUAAAAUCUGAAUUUUUAAUUACUGUGUUGUCUUACAAAGUGGAAAAAAAUAUAUUUUGUUUUUCUCUCAGGCAUACGUUGAUGUGUUUCAUGUACUGCUGAAAAGAUGGUAACAUAAUUUCUUCCUACAUAACUGUGGUUUCUUCUUAAAUCCAAACUUUGAAAAAAUUACAUUUCUGAACGUUUGAUUACAACUUAAAGAAUAUAUAUGUUAAGGAUUUUUAGAUGUGCACGGCAUACAAUAUGUUCAUUUUGUAUUGCACAGUACAGGUUGAAAUUUCUGGAAACAUGCUUUCUAAGUUAUUUAUCCAAUUUUUUUUAUUACUUAAGUUAUUUUUUUAUAUUUUACCUUUUUAUAGUAAGAAUCUGCUUUUGGUUCAAAUUUUAUUUUGUCAUAAAUGUGGUCAAUUUUGUUAGAUUGGAACACACUUAUGAUUUAUUUAAAAUAUUAAUUACAUGUUUAUAAUUUUAUUUUUGCACUUAAUUAUAUCUCUCUUUCCAGAGUGACUUAAUUUAGACUUGUUGUACCAGCUUGUCAUAAGAAGCUUGAUUCAAGCUUGAAUACAAGAUUGACGUAAGCUUUUUAUAAGCCUGAUCACAGCCAGGGGUGCAUGUGCCACUGGUACAAAUCCAGACAUGCACAAGCACCAGUGCGGACCGCAAGGUCCCAGUUACCGACCCCGGCUUGGUUGGAACUUUCUGCUCUGACAAACUCUCAUUCCUGGAUCAUCCUUCUUGUCCGGUACUGAACCUGCCUGCUUAAUGCAUGCAAAAUAACCCUGCAUAAAUGAGCCCAGGGGUUUCCCUUGUGUGUCUGUAGGUUUUACCUGCACUCAACUAGUUAUAGUCUAGAUCUAAGAGUUAGUCAUGGCAUCAAUUGAUGCUAUGGCUAGCCAGUCCCCAAAUAAAGCACAUGAUGCAUGCUACUCUCUCUUCAUGCAAGAUGCACUUAGGGCCGGUUUCACAAAGUCUGGUUAUCGUCCGAUUAUCUUCUGAUUAAAAUGUAAGUGCCGGUUAGCAGAAUUACCUGUUUCUCAAUAUAGGGUUAACAGUAAUCGGCCGAUUAACUGAUGGUAAUCUAUGGUUAAGUCAAACAGAAGAAGAGGUUCCGAUUAGUUGGCUACUGCUGAUAGUUUUGAGGUUAUGUAUAUUUUUUAAGCUGUUUGAAACCAUAUGGUGUGCAAAACAGAGAUAAUUGAUUGAAGUGCCACAGUGAUGAUGGCGAAUGAAUUGAACAUUUUGUUUGAAGAUGAUGAUGAUGAUGAUGAAAUUGUUAAUUAUUUAAAUAGACCACGAAUAUUUCGAGUAAGGCCAAAUCACUUUCAAAUGAAUGACAGUGAUUUUGCUAUGAGGUUUCAGCUUAGAAAAAUACGGUCCUAGCACUGUUGAAAAAAAUAGAAAGACAGUUGGAAGUGCCCACAGACAGGUUAGUGAUGGCUUUUUUUUUUUUGUUAAGCUAUUACAAGCAAACAAAAAAAAAAGUACUUUUUGUGUGAGCUUCCAUUUGAAAUUUAUUUGGCUAUGUAAACAUGUGAGUAUAAACAAGUAUUUUUGUUUUCAGAAAUUUUUCUCUCUCUCCUAUUGAUUAACUUCUAGUAUCCUUAAGGUUUUAUGCAUCUGAUGGAUUUUUAAUUUCCAUUGGUGAAUACUUCGGUUUACACAAGAGCACUGUAUGUCGUAUUGUAAAAAAGGUUACUCUUGUGAUAGCAAUGCUCCGCAGAAAAUAUAUUGCAUUUCCCGAGACAGAUGAACAAUAUCGGCUGUUACAUGAAGAAUUUUACAAUGUGGCACGGUUUCCAAAAGUAAUUGGAGCUAUUGACUGUACCCACAUCAAAAUUAUUUCUACAGGUAUGAAGACUUACGUAGUGUUUAGUAGGCCUAAUUAUAUAUUUGUUAUAUACAUUAAUGUCCAAGGGCAGCCAUCGGUAAAUAUGUAGUUUAGGGGUAUUCCUUAAAGAAUAUACUUAAAAAUCCUAACAUAACUUCAUUCCAUUCUCUAACCAUCCUGAAUUUAAUAAAAUAAAAAAUAAAAAACAGAGAUAAGAAAUUCCAAAUAGUUUAGGAGAAAUCACAGUUUUUAUUUUCCAUCACUAUACCUUUGCAUUCAUGCUGUUGCCGCAAUUGUUUUGUUAACAUGUUGGUAACUGCCUCAACCGUGUGUUUUUACUUGCUGGUCACAAUAUCUAAUUGUUUUAUAUUUAAUUUUUAUAUUUAAUUUAUUUUAUUUUCUUUUUGGUACUUAAUUGGUAAAUUUAAUUCCUUGAACUAUUCUGAAAUUGCACUGUCGAGCUAGCAAGUGUUAAGUUGUACACUAUACUGCACGCUUUCGGUAAUGUUCGGGCCGAGCCGAAGAAUUCCGAGUGGAAUGCUCCGAGUGAAGGCCGCGAGGAAUGGGGACUGCUCGAUGUGACGCCGAAGUGGACGGACCGCAAGGGGCGGGUGCCUGCGCUGAACGAGCGUGGAGGUUUCGACGGCCGGGCCGCGUUGGAGAGACGUGAGGCAAUGGACAUCACUGGUGCCCCGGGGUGGAGAAGUGCCGCGGCAGCGGUGAACUUGCUGUGACUUUGAAAGUAAGGCUAGAGACCCUUAUUUAUUUUCUGGUGAUGGUUCGCCUGGACGGAAGGUGGAGAAAAAAUCACAAUUUGACUUAUUGCUACGUGAAGCGAUCAUGACUGUGUCUAACAUCAUGUGCUAACGUGAUUAAUACUAUCAACAACUUAUAAUUACUUCUGAAUAAAUGUGCUCCAUAUAGUUCGAUAUAUUAGUGCAAAAACAAUAUGGAAAAUACUGUUUGGUAAAAAUGGCCAUGUAGACUUUUUGUAAGAACUUUCAUAAUAAUAGUUUCUCUUUUUAGUAAAUCCAUGCGCAUGGUGCUGUUGCUAUUAUAUACCCUGUAUGACUUAUUAAUUUUUCAUGUCAGUGCUAAAUGUAUGUCAUUAUUGUACGGCGUCAUCACUCGCGGUGAUAUGUCAUCACUCGCGGUGAUAGUAUACCAUUAAAUUCAUACACCGUACUUCUGUGUGUGCCUUACUUUACGUGUAGAGCCCAAUCGACCUCCUUCAAUUUGUUGCUUAUAGAAUUAUUUUUUGAAUCCCAUACACACAUGAUGGGGAAAGGGUACAUAUAAGUUGUUUUUUUUUCUACCUGUGGCGGUAUGUGUGGAAGGUUUUUUGUGGACUCCGGUAGCGAUCAAGGUCAUUGAGAUUUCUGAAGGCCGGGGUUACAGUUUCUUGUUUACUAGUAUCAAAUGUAUAUAUAUUUUUUUCAAUAGAUAAUGUUGUCACAUGACAGUCACGUCAUAGGCUAUUGAAAUGUAAAUAACAAAAAAUAAUUACGGGAGUCCCUACUGUUUAACCAAGCUCAGGCGUCAACCCUUGCCAGGGAUGUUUUUUAGCAGUAUGGAGACGCGGCGGAGCGCCGACUUGGUACGUGCGAUAGCAAGUAACUUGACGUAUAUAAGGAAUAAAAAUAUAAAAGGAAAUAUUGUAUCCAACAUAAAAAUUCCUUUUUUUGUCCAGUUACUUGCUAUCGCACGUAACAAGUCGGCGCUCCGCACCUCCAUACUGCUAAAAAACAUCCCUGGUAAGGGUUCACGCCUGAGCUAAGUUAAACAGUAGAGACUCACUGUUUUUUUUUUAUUUAACUUUUCAAUAGCCUAUGACGCCCGUCUUCAAAACCUGCAUCCCUUCUUCGCUGCACUUUUUUCGCACGUUUCAUGUUAUCGUAUUUUGCUUUCAAAGUUUCUUCAUUCCUUGGAAGUAUUCCAGACAAGGAAUCAAACUCUAAUGUAAUCCUUUGCCAUGCAUCUUCUUUUUGUCUCCAUGUAACCGCAUCGGUUUUCAUGCAUUCUAUGAUACUGGCAUACUUUUCCACUAACUCCUUUUCCGAAGCAAGAAUAUUUCCGGAUUGUGGCCGCUUAUUUUCGUCCAUACUGAUGUUUGUUUACAAUUUUCUCUAACCGAAACUUAAACACUGGCCAAAAGUAAUAAACGAAGGUAGCACAACAGCCAAUCGUGAUCCGAUACGUCAUCGCUUGGUUGCCAUAUUUCCCUUAACCAUUGUUUAGUUAAACACUCGUUAAAAGUACGUUGGGAAACAGUCAAAUGAUAAUCAGUACUUUAAUGCCCAGUUUAAAUUAAUCGUUUGAUUAGAUAACCAAAACUUUAAACAGACUUUGUGAAACCGGCCCUAAGUCUCUUUCCUAACCCAGACCCCCUCCCAAACAAAUACAUUUACUUUGUUAGGUUAGGAAAAAAAAUUGCUUUGCUCUGCUUCUCAACUAGCAGCAUUCCCCUACCAGAUAUUAAGCAUAACGGGGUUUAUAAACUACAAAAGAAUGCCGGAACCAUACCAUUCACAUAGUAUUUUCUAGAGCUGGGCCGAUCACCUAUUUUGCCGAUCAUGCCGAUGCCGAUCAUCUGCUGCCGAUCUUGCCGAUCUUCUGAGCCGAUUAGAGCCUUUCAAGUACCUCUGAUUACACGUUGCUUUUGACGGAUCACUAUAAACGGUGAAAUAUUCCCAGACAAAACUACUUUUCAAGGACAUGAUUACUUAAAAAUCACGACAUCAUAAAUUUCACGGACUAGCAAUUAUACAGGUAAGCCCGGAAGGUCUUGUCAAGCUUCUCAGACACCAGCGUGCAGCUGGGUUAAGGCCAAGGUCAUGUGACGUAACAUCUCCCGAGGCUUACUGCGCCUUCGCAGCAGAUGGAUAAAAAUAGUAAACAACCAAUUAUACGUGUUCAUUGGGACCCGCCGAUGCCCGGAUAAUUGAAAUUCUGUAAAAAAAAAAAAAAAUAAUAAACCCGGAUAAUCGGUUAACGGUAAGGGCCGCCUUCGAAUUGUUGUCUCGGCUUAAAAAAAUACGGCACUGGCUAGCCAUUAGUUCACGGUCAUUUACAACAGCCGAAGAGAGAAAGAUAAGAUCGUGCUGACAUUGUACACAUAAAUUUUGGGUAGCUCCCCACCCCCCUCUUCCCCCUCGACCAGCCGAAUGCCAGCCAGACACGUCACUCGCCAGGCGCCUGCCGUGCGUUGGCGGGCGGAAAGUGACUCAGCAGCACGUGAAACAACAUUCAAACAAACGGAAAACGGGAAGCAGAAGUCAGGACAUCCCCCUCAAGUUUAAAGAGUGACAAAUGUGACAGCUGAAAGGGGGGCGACACAAAGGGUCGGUACAAACAGCGUUGCAGUGUUUGCCGCCCGCCGGCCCGCGUGACGUUAAUUUUAAGCGCUGACAAUUUUAGCUUCUCUUUUUUUUCUGCACUUUUAAAUCGUCCCGGAUUAUCCGAUUCCCGUAUUAGCGCGUCACGGAUUAACGAGGUUCUACUGUGGGAAACAAAACUCUACAUCAACCAGGUUUUUAUACAAAAGAAAGUUAAGCUCUAUUUCCCGCUAAACAGGAUAAGAAUAUUAAUUUCUCUAAACAAAACUUUCAAUAGGCCAUAUUUAGCGAGAAAAAACUAAAUAGAUGAAUUCCCGAAGAGUAGUUUACUAACCACGAGACUACUAGCGCCAUUAAUCCGUACUAAUUCCGUCGCGCGACGCGCGUCACUCUAAUCUCUGGCGUCACAUAACCAACCUAAACAACAGUCGCCAUUCGCCAUUCCGGUAAUAUUAAUCGUAAAUGGUAAACAAAUACAUAAUUUUCGGUUCGUAAAUGAUAAAUAACUUUGCAAAUAGUAUAAUGGAAAAUUAUUUUACCGAAAGUACCGUAAAUAUACGUGGAAAUUGAUACUUAGGCCCGGCUAAGUGUGACACCGGCACGUGCAUUAAGUGUAAAAUCAUCUCUAAGAGCAAGACAGAUUCAGCAAGUUUCCUGUAAGUGUGCAAGUGUGUGAGAGAGUGCGAGUGAGUGAGUGUACGUGUGGAGCGCUCAUUUACACCAAACAUGUCAUUUGUACCCUAAAAUUGUUAAGAGUGGUUUAAAUUAGUUAAGAAAUGACCAUCCACAAAGCUUGUUGAGUUAUUGUCUUGAAAUAGAUUAUUACUUCACAGAAAAAAUUACAGCAUGUUUGUACAACACGAGUGAUGGUUGGUUAGGAUAUUCGUUCUGUUGAGAACAUAAUAAAAUUUUUGAUUCCACUUCUGUUAAAGUAGCACUUAGAGAAAUAAAUUUUACAUUCCUUCGCGGGACAUAUCCAAUCUCUUGCUAAAAUAAAUCUGGACCAAAAUAACAUCUUAAGUUUUUUCUAUAGCAUUGCUAUGACCAGCAUAAACCUUAAAUACAUUUUUACAGUUUUUAAUACUUUAUAAAUCAUAUAAAAUAACUUUGCUCUUAGAAGAUGUGAAUGGUGUCAAGAUGAAUUUUAAAAAAAAAUUCAUUAAGCUUAUUGUCACCAUAUAGUAUUGUGUUUGCCAAUUAAAUUAUUUAACUGUUAAUUUGUUUGUUCUAAAUAUUUUCACGUCCACACAAAGCCUAAGACAUGUGAAUGAUUAAAAAAAAAUCACAAUGCACAUCUCCAAAAACCAACAAGUUCAAUGUGGAAGCAUUAAUAAUUACAUACACUUCAGUUUCACUUUCUUAGCCAACAGCUACAAUUUUUUUAGUUAUCACACAAAAUGAACAUAACAUAAUUAAAAAAUAGAAUCCAAACUAGUGCUGAGCCGAUACAGAUUCUGAGCCUUUUCUGAUACUACCGAUACUGCCAAUUCCAUUACCGAUAUGUACUGCCUAAAUGUUUUUACUAGUGUGUUGGAUGUAGCCGACAUAUUUUACUUCAGAAAUAUAAUGCAAUAACACAAAUCAAUGACCAUAGCUUUAAAUAUAACUUAUAAAAUGUUUAAUAAAUGCAGAUUAGUUACUACAAUGAGGUAAAAACAGAACCUAGCCACCACAUUGGCUGCACUACGAAUGUUUGUACCUUGCUAGAGCUAUGGCAACGGUGGAAAUGCCGUUGCAUCUGGCAGCGCUGUGAUGACUUGCUCUUCCUUGGCCCUCAAUUGUUGUGGACGCCAUCUUGGUACAGCACCUUACUUGUUCCGUGAAGUACACAUCAUCGCUUCCGAACAGCUUGUUUUUAUUGUGAUAACGGCACCAAACAAUCAGUUUCAAAUUCGCUAAUAUCAUUUUUAAUAGUGUGCGAUACAUGUAUAUACUGCAAGAAGUUACGUUACAGUUUCUAAUGAAAAUGAAGUUAGCUAUACAGACGUGUUGCAUUGCUGCAGGCCUAUUAAACAAAAGGCUGUUACUAUAUUUACAUAAUUUUUCAAAGUCGUUGCUUAAACACGGGCCUAUGUUUGGAAAGUCACUACAAUACAAGCAAAGCUUCAUUUGCAUCACUUUUUGAACGUGUCGAGUUGAAAUUUUACAAUACCCGGCAUAACCCGAGUGAGUUCAUGAACUACUUGUGCCUUUUAUACUUUCAUAUUUUGAUUUUUUAACGCAUAAACAUACACUGUAGACUGUAACCAUAUUUUUUCUUUCUGUUCAGCGAAAAUUUUGUAGAAAUGGAUAAAUAAACUCGGUUGGGAUGAUGUAAUAAAAAUCAAUGUUUAAGUAUUAAAACGUACGAAUUUAUUGGUUUUAAUACCUGCAUUUUUUAUGUGAAUCGUGCACAACUCCGAUAUUGAUUAUAUCGGCCGGUUUUGAUAAUCAGAACCGGGUUCGGCUCAGCACUAGUUUAAAGGAUGCUACAGUGUUGCAAUUUUUGUUCUGGAAAUGACAUAGAAUUCUUUUCAGUGAUUGUGAAUUGUAAAAUUAUCUAUAAUAUGUAUACAGACAAACCUUACUAAUACCAAAAUAGAGGGACCAUAAAUUUGGCACUUUGUUAUAAUGAGGUUUGUAUAAACCUAACUAUUGAAUUUUAACUCUGUGAAAAACAAAUAAUUCAUAGACAAUCAAAAUAGUUAGAAAUGUUUUUCUCAUUUAAUAAAGACAUAAAAUUUAAAAAAAAAAAUUUGCCUUGUAAGAAAACUUGAUAGUAAUUAUACAUAUUAUCAGAAGUAAAGUAUAUGUAAAAAAAUUUCUACUGUUCUAUUCUUACAACAUAUACAUAACAUAUCUUCAUUUUUAAUUACUAUAAACUUUCUAAGAUGUUUCUGUAUCAUACAUUGGCAUAAGUAUUAUUUUAUUUGAAAAUGAAAUGGUGACUUCUCAUAAUUUUGUGAUAUUUGUACAAACAUUUAAUGUUUUUUUCCAGGGUACAAAAAACUUUGUAUUAAAUGAUAAGAACAAUAUUUUGUACUAGGUAAAUAAUCUGCUUAGCACUAUAACUUCUAUGUAAUUUCUAGGGACUGAGAAAACAUUUUUAUUAAUGUAAUGUUUCACUGAAGUACUAUUGUGUACUUAUUUUUGAGUAAAGUGGUUUCAUAAAAUUAAGAUUUAAAAUUUUUUAAAUACAUAGUAGUUAAUUGCAUUCUGCUAAUUGCGUGCUGGAAAAUUAUUCAUGUUGUCUCGCAGCCUUGUGUUUAGAAUGUUAGAGAGUAUUUCAUAUUGUUUAAAUUAUUAUUGUUUGUUUUAAAAAUUUUGUUUGUAUUGUUUGCUUUGUUGUUUAAAUUGAUUAUAUUGAUUUAUCGCAUAAUCAUAGCACCAUUAUUUUAGGGCGUCAAUAGAAAAAAAAUUCUCGCACAAACGUUACAUGAUGUUUUUGGUCCUGCACUGUUGAACAACAUUCGGUUUUGAAGUUGCUUUCAGGCAGUUUUGUAGUUAUAAUAGAUAAAUACAGUAUUACAAUUAAAAUGAACUGCUGCAAUAUGAAUUUCCUUUCAAUAUGGUGAAUUGUUUUAGUGCUAUUUGCUUUUUGCUCAAUAUAUAAGUUAUUUUUUCCAUGUAAGAUGUUGCCCAGAUAUUUUUUCCCCAAUAUAAAAUUAUGUAUUUUAAAGUUUAAAUCUAUAAUUUAAUAUGCUUUCUAGCUCAUGUUAGGGUUUUUGUCCUCUAUUUAAAGUUGAACUAAAUAGGUUUCUGUUGCAUGACAUAUUAAUGCAAAAAUUUUUUGGCUUGCUUUGCUUUUUUUGUAUACUUUGUUUUAAUUAAAAACAUUAUUUCCAUUUUAUGAAUAACUUUUCAAACGUGAUGCUAAUAUAAAAUGUGUGAAGAUUAUGCGAUAACACUAUGGUGAAGAGUAAUGGUACCUUGGUGAUGUGAUGAAUGAAGUCUUUAUAAUACUUAUUUAAUAAUAUUGUAACAGAUUCCUUGUUGAGUACACUUGUGUAGUAUUAUUAAAAAUAUAAAUAAAUUUUGUUUUGAACAGGAAA